GCGCGGGGCAGUGGGACGAGCCCGUUCCUCGCAGCAGUAGCUGCAGCUGCUUCGGGGAGAGUUUCACUGAGGGCCGGGAGGCAGCGCUGGGCUGGGCUCUGCUCUGCUCCUCCCGGCAGCCGAGGCGCUUUCCCCGCCCCCGGGCCCCGGAGCCGCGCGCGGUCGGGCAGGGCAGAACGCAAGGCGUCUUCCUCUGGGCCAGGCAUAUGCCCUGUUCAGAAUCUGGCAGACAUCUGUCACAACAUGAUGUGAAAUUAAGCUUGUCAGUGGCUGGCUUUUUAAGGGCUGCUAACUGGUUUAAAGGGCAAAUCUGGCGUAAAGGAAACGUUAGACAUUAUCCCCUGCAGCUCCAAAGCCUCCUGACUCAAGAACUAUUGUUGCAGGGGGUGGGGGCAGAAAAAAAAUUCCACUGUUCUGAAACGUUGGCAGUAACUUCUGUAACGCUCUGA
Molecule: long non-coding RNA, 449 nt
Organism: Crocodylus porosus (Australian saltwater crocodile)
Lineage: Eukaryota; Metazoa; Chordata; Crocodylia; Crocodylidae
Source: Ensembl